AGCAGCCGCGGUAAUUCCAGCUCCAAUAGCGUAUAUUAAGGUUGUUGCAGUUAAAAAGCUCGUAGUUGAAUUUUGGACGGGGCAGCGUGGUCCGCUCAAAUGGGCGAGUACUGCGCGGGCACGGUCUCACCUUCUGGCGAGACGGGAUGCUCUUAAGUGGGUGUCUCGUGGAGCCAGGACGAUUACCUUAGAAAAAUUAGAGUGCUACAAAGCGGGCUCAGGCUUGAAUAGAUUAGCAUGGAAUAACGGAAUAGGACUCGUGGUUCUAUUUCGUUGGUUUCUAGGAUCGCGGUAAUGAUUAAUAGGGAUAGUUGGGGGCAUUAGUAUUCAAUUGUCAGAGGUGAAAUUCUUGGAUUUAUUGAAGACUAACUACUGCGAAAGCAUUUGCCAAGGAUGUUUUCAUUAAUCAAAGAACGAAAGUUAGGGGAUCGAAGACGAUCGGAUACCGUCGUAGUCUUAACCAUAAACUAUGCCGACUAGGAAUCGGGCAUUGUAAUAAGAUGACUUGCUCGGA
Molecule: unclassified non-coding RNA, 514 nt
Filed under: uncultured Archaeospora
Lineage: Eukaryota; Fungi; Glomeromycota; Glomeromycetes; Archaeosporales; Archaeosporaceae
Description: bacterial SSU rRNA
Rfam family: Eukaryotic small subunit ribosomal RNA
Source: RNAcentral